UCCCUGGUGGUCCAGUGGCUAAGACUCUGCACUCCCAAUGCAGGGGGCCCGGGUUCAAUCCCUGGUCAGGGAA
This 73-nucleotide transfer RNA is filed under the name Balaenoptera musculus (blue whale). It matches the Rfam family "tRNA". Rfam says of the family: Transfer RNA (tRNA) molecules are approximately 80 nucleotides in length. Their secondary structure includes four short double-helical elements and three loops (D, anti-codon, and T loops). RNAcentral also lists the same sequence under 1 other name. The record is from Rfam by way of RNAcentral. Lineage: Eukaryota; Metazoa; Chordata; Mammalia; Artiodactyla; Balaenopteridae.